GACGAACGCUGGCGGCGUGCUUAACACAUGCAAGUCGAACGGAAAGGCCCUACUUGCAGGGUACUCGAGUGGCGAACGGGUGAGUAACACGUGGGUGAUCUGCCCUGCACUUCGGGAUAAGCCUGGGAAACUGGGUCUAAUACCGGAUAGGAGCCAUUUUUAGUGUGAUGGUUGGAAAGUUUUUUCGGUGUAGGAUGAGCUCGCGGCCUAUCAGCUUGUUGGUGGGGUAAUGGCCUACCAAGGCGGCGACGGGUAGCCGGCCUGAGAGGGUGGACGGCCACAUUGGGACUGAGAUACGGCCCAGACUCCUACGGGAGGCAGCAGUGGGGAAUAUUGCACAAUGGGCGGAAGCCUGAUGCAGCGACGCCGCGGGGGGGAUGACGGCCUUCGGGUUGGAAACUCCUUUCGCUAGGGACGAAGCUUUUUGUGACGGUACCUAGAUAAGAAGCACCGGCUAACUACGUG
Molecule: ribosomal RNA, 465 nt
Filed under: uncultured bacterium
Lineage: Bacteria
Description: partial 16S ribosomal RNA
Rfam family: Bacterial small subunit ribosomal RNA
Source: RNAcentral